AUUGAACGCUGGCGGCAGGCCUAACACAUGCAAGUCGAGCGGAGCGGCGGACGGAUGAGUGAUUCCUAGGAAUCUGCCUGGUAGUUGGGGAUAACGUCCGGAAACGGGCGCUAAUACCGCACACUAUCAGUUGAGCCUAGGUGGGAUUAGCUAGUUGGUGGGGUAAAGGCCUACCAAGGCGACGAUCCGUACCUGGUCUGAGAGGAUGAUCAGUCACACUGGAACUGAGACACGGCCCAGACUCCUACGGGAGGCAGCAGUGGGGAAUAUUGGACAAUGGGCGAAAGCCUGAUCCAGCCAUGCCGCGUGUAUGAAGAAGGUCUUCGGAUUGUAAAGCACUUUAAGUUGGGAGGCGUUACCAACAGAAGAAGCACCGGCUAACUCCGUGCCAGCAGCCGCGGUAAUAC
RNAcentral lists this ribosomal RNA (407 nucleotides) under uncultured bacterium. RNAcentral's name for it is "partial 16S ribosomal RNA". It matches the Rfam family "Bacterial small subunit ribosomal RNA", at positions 30 to 526 of the family's 1533-position model. The record is from RNAcentral.